This 223-nucleotide ribosomal RNA is filed under the name uncultured eukaryote. RNAcentral describes it as "partial 18S ribosomal RNA". It matches the Rfam family "Eukaryotic small subunit ribosomal RNA", at positions 1187 to 1425 of the family's 1831-position model. The record is from RNAcentral.
GGCUUAUUUGACUCAACGCGGGAAACCUCACCCGGUCUGGACACUGCAAGGAUUGACAGAUUGAGAGCUCUUUCUUGAUUCGGUGAGUGGUGGUGCAUGGCCGUUCUUAGUUGGUGGAGCGAUUUGUCUGGUCAAUUCCGAUAACGAACGAGACUCUAGCCUGCUAAAUAGUUCGGGGACCCCCACAAAGGGGCCCCGCUUUAACUUCUUAGAGGGACAGGUG